This is a non-coding RNA of Lonchura striata (white-rumped munia), 125 nucleotides long. The record is from RefSeq and is a predicted model, not a curated record. Lineage: Eukaryota; Metazoa; Chordata; Aves; Passeriformes; Estrildidae.
GGGUGAUGCUCAAAAAGGAGAUCGUGGAGAGAAAGGGGAAGAGGGAGAUUCUGGCUACAAGGGAGACAAGGGUGAAAGAGGAGAAUGUGGACCCCCAGGACCAAAAGGAGAAAUAGGUUUGCAGG